Molecule: ribosomal RNA, 538 nt
Filed under: uncultured Methanogenium sp.
Lineage: Archaea; Methanobacteriati; Methanobacteriota; Methanomicrobia; Methanomicrobiales; Methanomicrobiaceae
Description: bacterial SSU rRNA
Rfam family: Archaeal small subunit ribosomal RNA
Source: RNAcentral
GGCGCAGCAGGCGCGAAAACUUUACAAUGCAGGAAACUGUGAUAAGGGAACCCCGAGUGCCCGUACACGCGGGCUGUCUGGGUGUUUAAAAUGCACCCAAAGAAAGGGCCGGGCAAGACCGGUGCCAGCCGCCGCGGUAAUACCGGCGGCUCGAGUGGUGACCACUUUUAUUGGGCUUAAAGCGUUCGUAGCUGGACUGUUAAGUCCCUUGGGAAAUCCGCCGGCUCAACCGGCGGGCGUCUAAGGGAUACUGGCAGUCUAGGGACCGGGAGAGGUAAGAGGUACUCCGGGGGUAGGAGUGAAAUCCUGUAAUCCCCGGGGGACCACCUGUGGCGAAGGCGUCUUACCAGAACGGCUCCGACAGUGAGGAACGAAAGCUGGGGGAGCGAACCGGAUUAGAUACCCGGGUAGUCCCAGCCGUAAACGAUGCGCGUUAGGUGUACCGGCGACCACGAGUUGCCGGAGUGCCGAAGGGAAACCGUGAAACGUGCCGCCUGGGAAGUACGGUCGCAAGGCUGAAACUCAAAUGAAUUGACGG